GAUGAACGCUGGCGGCGUGCCUAAUACAUGCAAGUCGAGCGAACAGACGAUGAGCUUGUUCCUUUGUCGUUAGCGGCGGGCGGGUGUGAAACAUGUGGAUACUCCCCUUAUAAUACUGGUAUCAUUUCGGGAAACCGGCGCUUAUACCGGAUAAUAUAUUGAACCGCAUGGUUGAAUAGUGAAAGACGGCGUUUCUGUCACUAAUCGAUGGAUCUGCGCCGGUUUAGCUAGUUGGUACGGUAACGGCCUACCACGGCGACGAUGCGUAGGCGACCUGAGAGGGUGGUCGGCCACACGGGAACUGGAACGCGGUCCAUGCGCCUACGAGAGGCAGCAGUAGGGUAUCUUCCGCAGUGGUCGAAAGCAUGGCGGAGCAGCGCCGCGCGAGUGAUGAAGGUCUUCGGAUCGUAAAACUCUGUUAUUAGGGAAGAACAAAUGUGUAAGUAACUAUGCACGUCUUGACGGUACCUAAUCAGAAAGCCACGGCUAACUACGUG
This 497-nucleotide ribosomal RNA is filed under the name uncultured bacterium. RNAcentral describes it as "partial 16S ribosomal RNA". It matches the Rfam family "Bacterial small subunit ribosomal RNA", at positions 28 to 507 of the family's 1533-position model. The record is from RNAcentral.